RNAcentral lists this long non-coding RNA (298 nucleotides) under Brassica napus (rape). RNAcentral's name for it is "long non-coding RNA (BNAP_LNC000624)". Lineage: Eukaryota; Viridiplantae; Streptophyta; Magnoliopsida; Brassicales; Brassicaceae. The record is from RNAcentral.
UUAUUUAUCGUUGUUUACAGAAUAAAUUAAGUGUUAUAAAUUAUGGGUGAAUUAGCCAAAUGACCAAAUUUGAAAAGGAAAUUAAGUGCAUAGCAUUGAUUUUGACAUAAUAAAGCCCUUAACAAUUAUGUCAACUUAUAUCCGGUAAUACCCUUUUUUUUGUUCAAGUUGCCAGUAAUAGAGAGAGAAAUUGAUGACAUCAACAAUUUGACACCCCACAAUUAAUUAUCACACCUAAUUCAAUCAACACCACACUUUUGUUUAACACUUAAAUAUACAUCUAAUUUUUCUAUACCUU